UACAAGGUCCUUCUUUUUCUCCAGGAAAUAAUAAUAAUUUCACAAUUCUCACAAGAUGUCCAGAUAAUUUACAUUUGUCUUGCAGUUAUAGUAUUUUCAACCGUGAUUGAUGAACUCUGUUGAAUAGUUUGGCCUUUGGUUGGGACUAACAUGCUUCAAAUUGUUGAGAUAUUUUAAUCUAAAACUUCAACUGAAAAUUUGGAGUUGCCUUUUCCAUGAUAUGGUGCAUAGGAAAAUGCUUGUAUUUCUUGGCCAAGAUAAAUUUUGAAGUAGGCUCUGGUGGAAGUGUGGUUACGGGGACUAUUUCAAACAAGACCUGUCCAACGCUUAAGCUUGGCUUGAUUUUAUUGGAAUUUGACCUGUUGUUGAACCUAGUUGUUCAGAGUCUGAAAGACUAAAGCUCUGUCAAAAGGCUGAGCUUAACCCAGAAUAGAUAAUAUAAUUUGUUGGUAUUUCACUAAUUCAUUACUUGUUUACUUCAUCCUCUAACAUCAGAUGCUCUUAUUUGACAUAAUUAUACGCUCUUAUUAUUAGAGAUACUAGUUUGUAGUAGUAUAUAUACUUGUAAUAACCCCAUUAGUGGGAUAACUUCCUCAUUUGUAAUAUUACAUUUUACUAUCAAUAGAACAAUUUCAUAACCUUUUCUCUCCUUCAUCCUGGAUAUCAUGUUUCCUAACAUGGUAUCAGAGCUAAUCUGGUAUCCACCUUGAAGGAAUUUUCCGCUGCAUUUUCUCGAGAAAAUUCUAUUUUCUCACUUUCAAUUUCUUUCUUACUCCAAUUUUCCCGUACUCAAUUCCUUUCCUUCGUUUUUUUCUCUCUCACUUUCUCUCUACUUCCGUUUUGUUUCCGGUUUGUUUUCUCGAUGAAUUUCUCAUCUUGAAUUCCUUUUUUUCUUGAUCGUUUCAUCGAUCUUUAUUCUGAUUUCAAUUGUGAUUCACUUGUCCUCUUUUCAAUUUGAGAUUGCGUUUUGAUCGCGAAUUUUCGUUCUCACCUUUUCUCCCUCAUUUCUAGGGUUCCGUGAUUUGUUACUUCAUCAAUUGCAAUUUCCAGUUUCUGAAUCUCGCGAUUUCGUGAUUUGAUUUCUUAUGUUCUUGCGAUUGCAAUUCUGUUUCAUCGCAUUUCUUUACUGUUCGAUUUUGUUUUGCGUCUUUCCCCAAUUCUUAGGGUUUCAGAUUCGUUUUAUCUGUACCUUGAGAUUUUGGCGUUUUGGUCCUUAUCACUUAUGGAUAUUGCUUCCAAGGUGUUUGUUGAAGGUCCUCAUUGGGAAGAAUGAUGGGUACUGUGUUCGGUUUGACCGUGCAGGUUGUUUGUUUUGAGAGAUUUAUGGAGAAUUCUUGAUUCUGGAAGUUAUAGAUGGAGAUUCAUUUUUGAUUAUUUUUGAAGAUUUGGAGUUAUCAAUUUGUUAGUGACUUUCAAGUGCAAUCUACUUCUUUUUGCGAUCGUGCUCUAUUGGAUUUUGUAUUUCACUGUCGUAUACGUGAGGAUGGGAGUCAAUAUCUAUGUGGCUGAUCUUGUUCCUUGCCGCUUUGAAGCUCUAGUUGCUGGCAAUAUUGUCUCUGCAGUUCAGUCUUUGGUAAUCAUCUAUUCUACUGCCAUUGCUCUCUUUUCUCCAUAUAUUCUUUGAAGUUGUUUCGUUUUACAAGAAUUAGCUAUCUGGUUUGUGUUGCAAUUUUCUGCAUAUAUGUUCUUUGUAUGUGAGGGAUUAUAAUGCUCACAAGAUUCUUGGUUAUUGGCAUUGAUGAGUAUUUGGUAGUUGUUGAAGUUAUAAUGCCUUUGGAACUUUGAUCUUUGUUGGUUAUUGCUUAUGGUGAACCUGACGUGAACUUAGAUGCUGAAUACAUGGAUGGAUUUAUGUAGAAAUGUAGUUCUGGCUUAUUGCUAUUUCAACAUAUCUUGUUGGCAAGAUACAUUCUGUUUUAGUCAUCCAUCAUUGUGGACCUAUGGCACUUUUUCAAGAGAUUUUAUGGAAGUGCAUGGUGUAAUAUUAAAAGGCAUUGCAUCAGUAUCUCUCCUAUAUGAUUGAAGUUUAUGUAGCUUUGUUAAACAAGACAAUUUUCUCAUGGCUGUAAGUGCCUCCUUCACAAUUGAAUUGGAUUCUGCUUUGAGUAUAUGCAUUCUCUCUUUGUCCUGGAUCGUGUGUGAAGUUUGUUCAACAUAUGACCUCCUUCCAUUGUAGACUUUGGCCCUUCCUUGCACUUCUUUUCUUUUGGAUAUCAUCAUUGAUUUUGGAUAUCCUUGUUUUUCUUGUCUUGUGCUUCUGUUCAUGAUGGUUAAGCUAUGUUAAUAAGCUUCUGUCAUGAAUGGUUAAGCGUUGUGCUUCUGUCCAAGGAUGGUUAAGCGUCGUUUUUCUUCUUCUUCUUCUUGUGCUUCUGUCUUGAGUUAUUGAAAACUCUUGAUGGUUAAGCGUUAUGCCUUUUAUGGCUUUGUGAAUAUUGGCUUCUACCGGAUGGUGGUUAAGCGUUGCUUUGAUGCUCCUUCAUUCAAUUGGUUCAACCUUGAGUUGUGGUUGCUUCUUGUUGGAUAAGCACUUGCUUGAUGACUAUGUUUUUUUUUUAGCCGAUGUGUUUCCGGCAUCUUUCCUUGUAUUUUCUCAUUUCAAGUUGAAAGUGUUUUGAACACCUUCCAACUUGAGGGGGACUAUUAGAGAUACUAGUUUGUAGUAGUAUAUAUACUUGUAAUAACCCCAUUAGUGGGAUAACUUCCUCAUUUGUAAUAUUACAUUUUACUAUCAAUAGAACAAUUUCAUAACCUUUUCUCUCCUUCAUCCUGGAUAUCAUGUUUCCUAACACUUAUGUUACCUAACAUUUAUUGGAUAUAUCAAACUAUGUUUUUAUCACAUUCUUGCAGGUUAACAUUCGUCUGUCUAGCUUUUAACGGGUUUUGUGAUGGUAUCUCUUCCUUUUCGUGUUUGAUAGUUUUCGGUGCUCUCUUCUGCAUCAUCCAAAUAAUAGUGUUAGCUUAUGCUUUAGUGCAACCUUUGAGAAUCAGAGAAGGUGCUUCAGAAGAUGAUAUCAAGUCACUUCCUAUGUAUAGGUUUAGUCAGCCAAAUGUAAUGAUUAUGGUUGAUAAGAACAAGAAGCAACUUGAUGAAGCAAGAAUUGGUUCGCACAAUCAAAGCCAUAUCAGUGAACUAUCUCUUCAUCCAGAUGAUUCUGUAAGUACAAACUGGGUCUUCUCUUAUCUCUCAAUCCUUAAUUCUUUAGUUUUUCUUUAGUUUUAAUAUCAAUGUAUUGUAACUUGUAAUUAACUUUAUGUAUGAAUUGGAUCUUUUCUCAAAAAAAAAAAUGUAUGAAUUGGAUCUAUAUAUGAUUGGACUAUAUGGUUAAUGAAUUGAAAAAUUGUUGCAAUCCUCAAUGUUAUCUUUGAUUUGUUCUUAAAUAUGCUUGUGUUUAUAAUUGAUUUCAAUAAAAUCCUAUCUAGAAAAUAUUCUCCCCAUUCAUCUAAUGUAUUUUAAACUUAUUUUUUUUGGAAGAGGGUUCAAUGUGAAUUUGGUAUGACCUGAAAAUUGCUUCCCGUGAUUCUUUGAUGCUUGUCAUACAGUUGAGAUACAUUAUGAAACUACAGAAAGAGACUAACCACUUCUGAUUAUGCUGUAGGAGUGUUGUAUAUGCCUCUGUUCAUAUGUUGAUGGAACAGAACUGUAUCGCCUUCCAUGUACCCACCAUUUUCAUUGCGAAUGCAUCAGUCGUUGGCUUCGGACAAAAGCAACUUGCCCACUCUGCAAAUUUAAUAUCCGAAGAGGUGAUAUAUUGGUUUGAUAUUUCGUUGAUAAAGACUAGAUAGCACUGAGGUGAAGUAUCACUUAAAUGGGACAUGACAGUGGAGAACCAAAAUAUUUGCUAAUCUGCUGACUAGUGUUGGUACAUAAGUUGAAAACAAGAAGGAAAUGCCCCACCCUCUCAUCUUUGUCUUUGAAUUCUAGUUUCCUUAGAGGUAAUUUAACUUUUUAACCAGUCUUGAGGGUUUACACCAUAAGUUGUACUUAUAAGGCAAAUUUAAUUUAUUUUUUUAUGCAAACUUACAAGGCAAUUAAAGAAACAAUUUUAUGUACAGUAAUAAUUUUUUUGACCACUUUCUCCAUCUCCACUCACAAUUAAAUUCAAAACUAUGUAUGAAAGUUACACUUCUCAAAUUUUAUUUUAUUUUUUCAACUGCCAUUGGCCGACGACGCUUAACCGCCAUUUGGCUCUCCAACGACAGUUAAGUGUCGUUCGACACUUUUAAGAUCGGUUUCACCACUUUUUAAGCCGAUUCAAAAAGUAGGUUGAACGGCGGUUAGCUAUCGUUAGAGGUAAAUGGAUAAUUUCGGGGUGUUUUGGAUUUUUUUUGGAAAUGAGAAGAGUAAUUUUCACUUUAUACACACCUUAUACUCGGUAAAUAGUGGGAUCACAAUGGAAAAUGAAGGACAAUUGGGCUACCAAUGUGGAAAAGUUUACUUGAGCUUAUCAUAUUGGGAAAAAUUCAAAUUCUAUAGUUAAAAUCUGUUUUUUUUUUUUUAAAAGUUAAUUAACAUUGUGAAUACCAACUACCAAGUGUCUCUUUUGUUUUGUUAUUUUAUUAGACUAAAUUUUUUUAGAAUCAGCAAAUUUUAUUCACACAAGCGUGUGCAAGAAACACAACAAAAACUCGCGGGCAGCACAAGAACAAUACGACAGACACUGAAAUACCAGAAACCCCACAAACAGCAACAAAAAGCUCCCACAACGCAUGACAGAAAGCCUGUAAGAAGCAAAAACCAGAAAACAAAAACUGCUAACAGAACAGCAGACCUGAGGCUAACAUAUACAAAACUGCAGUACACCAAACCGAAGCUCAUAUAUAAAACUUAAUUAACUUCUUAUGUAUGUUGUUUUAGUUCACGCGUGAUGCAUGUGAACAAUGAACUUAGUUAAAGUAGCAGGUAGAUGAAAAAGGAAGGAUAUAAUGAUUAAAAAUAUUAAAAGGCAUUAGAGGCAUUUUUGUCAAAAAGGGUGUACUAGAAAAAGUCCUAUUAUACUUCUUUGUGGCUCUUAUAUUAUUAUUUCUCUCUCUUUUUACCAUUUCUUUUCACAUCCUAACAUAAAUGGAGAGUUUGAAAUCCUAACAUGCAAAACGCUUUUGGAAAUGAAAAUGAUGAUCGGUGCAGGUGCAUAUUGCGCGUUAACCCGUAACCCCCUUCUGCUGCUAUCCCGCUCCUUCAACAUUUUUCCUAAACUCACCCCCCUUCAAAAAAGGGUCUACUAGAAAAACUCCUCUUUUCACAUCCUAACAAAAAUGGAGAGUUUGAAAUCCUAACAUGCAAACCCCUUUUGGAAACGAAAAUGAUGAUCACCGGUGCAUAUUGUGCGCUAACCCGUAACCCCCUUCUGCUAUCCCGCUCCUUCAACAUUUUUCCUAAACCCACCCCCCUUCAAUUUCCAACUACACCCUCUCCUUCGUUUCCUUCAUUUAACCGCUUUCCAUCUCUCUUCCCUCAACUGUGCAUCCGUCAUUCUCGCCUCUCCACCCUCCCUCAUAAUGACUCCGGCGGAUUUGGCGGUGAUAGUGGCUCUGGAGGAUGGGAUCCCGGCGACAAUGAUUCCGAUGACGGAGGCGGAAAAUGGUCAUUCUUGUCAUGGUAAACAAAAAAUAUUGCUUUGACUUUGUCCAUAAAGUUAGUUAGGGUGUGUUGGAAGAGUACCUUAAGAUAUACUCCCUCCGUCCUAAAAUAUAAGCAAAAACAAAUUUUGAACAAAAUACAUUAACUUUUAUUGACCAAAUUUUGCUUACAUGUUAGGACGGAGGACGGAGGGAGUAAGCAUUUUUAUAAUUCAGAGAACUUGUACAAUUUGUAUUUUUGGUAGAUUGAAGAAAUGACAAUAGCCAUUAGAAACUCACACACGUAUAAGUGCAGGAGCCGGAGUUCGAACUCUGGAGUCUGGAAUGAGCACAGUCAGCUUAUAAUAGUUUAGCCUACUCUAUCUAUAGAAGAUCAAACCCGUUGUCUCCACGCUCACUACCAAAAUGGGGUGGUGGAGAGGAAACUUAGACAAGUUGUUGAACUCGGACUCGUGUUUAUGUUUGAGUGAUUGAUGUUAUGGUGUUAUAUGAGAUAAAUGAUGGUUUUCUAAUGUCUUUAUUUGUUUCAGCAUUGCGAAGAAGACCGAGCCUAUGAAUACACUGGUAUUAUCUGCUUUCUUGGUUUUUGGAUUUUCUUGUAUUGUUGUUGGUGGUCAAGCUCUUGUGGAAGUUCCUUUUCUCCUCUUCGGGUAAGAACCAUAGCUUUGAUGUGUUGUUUCCUUUUUCAUUUCUUUGGAGGGAAGCUGGGCGGAUAAUAAAUUUUUGCGUGAAUGCCAAGAGAGAGUAGUCAAAGUAGUAUAGAUUUGUGAUACUGAGUAAGUAACCAUCAACAUCUUAAUUUAAUUUAUUCAAAAAAAUAAAAACAUCUUAAUUUAAGACAACUGUUUUAAAAAAGAACCGAAUUUCAACUAUUCCACGGUUCCUUCACUAAGCAAAAUAACCAGGGAGUAGAUAAUUGUAGAUUAUUCUGUCUUUGUUUAAAUCGGAUAUAUAAAGGAGUGUGGAAAUGAAGAGAAAAAUGAAUGGUUACAUUGCACCCACAAUUAGUCAUUGUUGAAGUGUUAUUUUAAGAAGCUCCGAUUCAGGUCUGACCCUUCCCUGCACCUUGACCUGAUGGAAGCUUAAUAGCAUUGUGGUGUUCUUUUUAUUUAUUUAUUUUCAUUAAGAAUACUCUUAGCUUUUGUUCUGUCCUUCAAUUGUUUUACUGGAAUUGAGGUGCAGUUGUACAAGGUCCUUCCUUUUCUUCAGGAAAUAAUAACAAUUUCUCAAUUCUCACAAGAUGUCCAGAUAAUUUACAUUUGUCUUGCAGUUAAAGUAUUUUCAACCGUGAUUGAUGAACUCUGUUGAAUAGUUUGGCUUUUGUUUGGGACUAACAGGCUUCAAAUUGUUGAAAUAUUAUAACCUAAAACUUCAACUGAAAAUUCGGAGUUGCCUUUUCCAUGAAAUGGUGCAUAGGAAAAUGCUUGUAUUUCUUGGCCAAGAUAAAUUUUGAAGUAGGCUCUAGUGGAAGUGUGGUUACCAUGACUAUUUCAAACAAGACCUGUCCAACGCUUAAGCUUGGCCUGAUUUAAUUGGAAUUUGACCUGUUGUUGAACCUAGUUGUUCAGAGUCUGAAAGACUAAGGCUCUGUCAAAAGGCUGAGCUUAACCCAGAAUAGAUAAUAUAAUUUUUUUUGGUAUUUCACCGAUUCAUUACUUGUUUACUUCAUCCUCUAACAUCAUAUGCUCUUAUUUGACAUAAUUAUUCGCUCUUUUGUUACCUAAAAUUUAUUGGAUAUAUCAAACAAUGUUUUUAUCACAUUCUUGCAG
Molecule: long non-coding RNA, 7346 nt
Filed under: Medicago truncatula (barrel medic)
Lineage: Eukaryota; Viridiplantae; Streptophyta; Magnoliopsida; Fabales; Fabaceae
Description: long non-coding RNA (MTRU_LNC005447)
Source: RNAcentral